RNAcentral lists this transfer RNA (73 nucleotides) under Ornithorhynchus anatinus (platypus). It matches the Rfam family "tRNA". From Rfam's summary of the family: Transfer RNA (tRNA) molecules are approximately 80 nucleotides in length. Their secondary structure includes four short double-helical elements and three loops (D, anti-codon, and T loops). Further hydrogen bonds mediate the characteristic L-shaped molecular structure. tRNAs have two regions of fundamental functional importance: the anti-codon, which is responsible for specific mRNA codon recognition, and the 3' end, to which the tRNAs corresponding amino acid is attached (by aminoacyl-tRNA synthetases). tRNAs cope with the degeneracy of the genetic code in two manners: having more than one tRNA (with a specific anti-codon) for a particular amino acid; and 'wobble' base-pairing, i.e. permitting non-standard base-pairing at the 3rd anti-codon position. The record is from Rfam by way of RNAcentral. Lineage: Eukaryota; Metazoa; Chordata; Mammalia; Monotremata; Ornithorhynchidae.
AGCAGCGUGGCUCAGUGGCAAGAGCCCGGGCUUGGGAGUCAGAGGUCACGGGUUCGAAUCCCGUGCUCUGCCA